CGAGGGGCAGCGGGGGUGAUGGCUUGCCAUCACCUGCCGGCGACCGGCGCACGGGUGAGUAACACGUAUGCAACCUGCCCGCCACAGGGGGAUAAGCGGAAGAAAUUCCGUCUAAUACCGCGUGACGCGGCGCCGGGGCAUCCCGGUGCCGCCAAAGGGAUUACCGGUGGCGGAUGGGCAUGCGGCGCAUUAGCUAGUCGGCGGGGUAACGGCCCACCGAGGCGACGAUGCGUAGGGGUUCUGAGAGGAAGGUCCCCCACACUGGUACUGAGACACGGACCAGACUCCUACGGGAGGCAGCAGUGAGGAAUAUUGGUCAAUGGGCGCGAGCCUGAACCAGCCAAGUCGCGUGAGGGAUGACGGUCCUACGGAUUGUAAACCUCUUUUGCCGGGGAGCAAGCGUGCGUUCGUGAACGCGCGUCGAGAGUACCCGGAGAAAAAGCAUCGGCUAACUCCGUGCCAGCAGCCGCGGUAAUACGGAGGAUGCGAGCGUUAUCCGGAUUUAUUGGGUUUAAAGGGUGCGUAGGCGGGAUGCCAAGUCAGCGGUAAAAAUGCGGUGCUCAACGCCGUCGAGCCGUUGAAACUGGCGUUCUUGAGUGGGCGAGAAGUAUGCGGAAUGCGUGGUGUAGCGGUGAAAUGCAUAGAUAUCACGCAGAACUCCGAUUGCGAAGGCAGCAUACCGGCGCCCUACUGACGCUGAGGCACGAAAGCGUGGGUAUCGAACAGGAUUAGAUACCCUGGUAGUCCACGCAGUAAACGAUGAAUGCUAACUG
This 773-nucleotide ribosomal RNA is filed under the name uncultured bacterium. RNAcentral describes it as "bacterial SSU rRNA". It matches the Rfam family "Bacterial small subunit ribosomal RNA", at positions 63 to 822 of the family's 1533-position model. The record is from RNAcentral.